This 1924-nucleotide ribosomal RNA is filed under the name Ctenocephalides felis (cat flea). RNAcentral describes it as "SSU rRNA". It matches the Rfam family "Eukaryotic small subunit ribosomal RNA". The record is from RNAcentral. Lineage: Eukaryota; Metazoa; Arthropoda; Insecta; Siphonaptera; Pulicidae.
CCUGGUUGAUCCUGCCAGUAGUAUAUGCUUGUCUCAAAGAUUAAGCCAUGCAUGUCUCAGUGCAAGCCACAUUAAGGUGAAACCGCGAAUGGCUCAUUACAUCAGUUAUGGUCCCUUAGAUCGUACCCACAUUACUUGGAUAACUGUGGUAAUUCUAGAGCUAAUACAUGCAAAUAGAGUUCCGACCAGAGAUGGAAGGAAUGCUUUUAUUAGAUCAAAACCAAUCGGUGGUGGGCUUGCCUUGCUCACCGUUUGACUUGGUGACUCUGAAUAACUUCGUGCUGAUCGCACGGUCUAGUUCCGGCGACGCAUCUUUCAAAUGUCUGCCUUAUCAACUGUCGAUGGUAGUUUCUGCGACUACCAUGGUUGUUACGGGUAACGGGGAAUCAGGGUUCGAUUCCGGAGAAGGAGCCUGAGAAACGGCUACCACAUCCAAGGAAGGCAGCAGGCGCGCAAAUUACCAACUCCCGGCACGGGGAGGUAGUGACGAAAAAUAACGAUACGGGACUCAUCCGAGGCCCCGUAAUCGGAAUGAGUACACUUUAAAUCCUUUAACGAAGAUCUAUUAGAGGGCCAGUCUAGUACCAGCAGCCGCGGUAAUUCCAGCUCAAAUAGCGUACAUUAAAGUUGUUGCGGUUAAAAAGCUCGUAGUUGAAUCUGUGUCCCACACUGUCGGUUCACCGCUCGCGGUGUUCAACAGGCAUGUCUGUGGGAUGUCCUACCGGUGAGCUUAGCCCGCAUAAAAGCGGCACAACUCAAAAUCCUACCAAGGUGCUCUUCACCGACUGUCGAGGUGGGCCGGUACGUUUACUUUGAACAAAUUAGAGUGCUUAAUGCAGGCUCAUUCGCCUGAAUAUUGUGUGCAUGGAAUAAUGGAAUAGGACCUCGGUUCUAUUUUGUUGGUUUUUGGAAUUCCGAGGUAAUGAUUAAUAGGGACAACUGGGGGCAUUCGUAUUGCGACGUUAGAGGUGAAAUUUUUGGACCGUCGCAAGACGGACAGAAGCGAAAGCAUUUGCCAAAUGUGUUUUUAUCAAUCAAGAACGUAAGUUAGAGGUUCGAAGGCGAUCUGAUACCGCCCUAGUUCUAACCAUAAACGAUGCUAGCUAGCGAUCCGCCGAAGUUCCUCCGAUGACUCGGCGGGCAGCUUCCGGGAAACGAAAGCUUUUGGGUUCCGGGGGAAGUAUGGAUGCAAAGCUGAAACUUAAAGAAAUUGACGGAAGGGCACUACAAGGAGUGGAGCCUGCGGCUUAAUUUGACUCAACACGGGAAACCUCACAAGGUCCAGACGCCGGAAGGAUUGACAGAUUGAGAGUUCUUUCUUGAUUCGGUGGGUGGUGGUGCAUGGCCGUUCUUAGUUGGUGGAGUGAUUUGUGUGGUUAAUUCUGAUAACGAACGAGACUCUAGCCUGCUAAAUAGACGUACUUUCUUGUAUCGCAAAGACCCUCCGCUUCGGCUUCGGUCGUUGUUGGUUGUGGUUGUCACUACUGGCGUACAAAUAUAUCUUCAUAGAGAGACAGGCAGCAUUUAGUCGCACGAAAUUGAGCAAUAACAGGUCUGUGAUGCACUUAGAUGUUCUGGGCAUCGCACCGCACGCGCGCUACACUGAAAAGAUCAGCAGGUUUUUCUUGGCCAAAAGGUCCGGGUAAUCCGUUGAAGCCUCUUUGUGCUAGGGAUUGGGGCUUGCAAUUCUUCCCCAUGAACGAGGAAUUCCUAGUAAGCGCGAGUCAUAAGCUUGCGUUGAUUACGUCCCUGCCCUUUGUACACACCGCCCGUCGCUACUACCGAUUGAAUUAUUUAGUGAGGUCUUCGGACCGGUGCGCGGCAGCGUUUCGACAUUGCCGAUGGUGCUGGGAAGAUAGCCAAACUUGAUUAUUUAGAGGAAGUAAAAGUCAUAACAAGGUUUUCGUAGGUGAACCUGCGGAAG